CGUCCUAUAGUGUAGUUGGUUAUCACCCUGGGUUCUGAUUCCAGUAACCCCAGUUCGAAUCUGGGUAGGACGA
Cylindrotheca closterium is the source of this 73-nucleotide non-coding RNA. The record is from the annotation of a GenBank genome assembly. NCBI's taxonomy places the organism in Eukaryota, Bacillariophyta, Bacillariophyceae, Bacillariales, Bacillariaceae.